GAUCCUGGCUCAGGAUGAACGCUAGCUACAGGCUUAACACAUGCAAGUCGAGGGGAAACGACAUCGAAAGCUUGCUUUUGAUGGGCGUCGACCGGCGCACGGGUGAGUAACGCGUGGAUAACCUGCCUCACACAGGGGGAUAACAGUUAGAAAUGACUGCUAAUACCGCAUAAGCGCACGGUACCGCAUGGUACAGUGUGAAAAACUCCGGUGGUGUGAGAUGGAUCCGCGU
This 232-nucleotide ribosomal RNA is filed under the name uncultured bacterium. RNAcentral describes it as "partial 16S ribosomal RNA". It matches the Rfam family "Bacterial small subunit ribosomal RNA", at positions 15 to 236 of the family's 1533-position model. The record is from RNAcentral.